RNAcentral lists this ribosomal RNA (497 nucleotides) under uncultured bacterium. RNAcentral's name for it is "partial 16S ribosomal RNA". It matches the Rfam family "Bacterial small subunit ribosomal RNA", at positions 28 to 507 of the family's 1533-position model. The record is from RNAcentral.
GAUGAACGCUGGCGGCGUGCCUAAUACAUGCAAGUCGAGCGAACGGACGAGGAGCUUGCUCUUCUGAUGUUAGCGGCGGACGGGUGAGUAACACGUGGAUAACCUACCUAUAAGACUGGGAUAACUUCGGGAAACCGGAGCUAAUACCGGAUAAUAUUUUGAACCGCAUGGUUCAAUAGUGAAAGACGGUUUUGCUGUCACUUAUAGAUGGAUCCGCGCUGCAUUAGCUAGUUGGUAAGGUAACGGCUUACCAAGGCAACGAUGCGUAGCCGACCUGAGAGGGUGAUCGGCCACACUGGAACUGAGACACGGUCCAGACUCCUACGGGAGGCAGCAGUAGGGAAUCUUCCGCAAUGGGCGAAAGCUUGACGGAGCAACGCCGCGUGAGUGAUGAAGGUCUUCGGAUCGUAAAACUCUGUUAUUAGGGAAGAACAAAUGUGUAAGUAACUAUGCACAUCUUGACGGUACCUAAUCAGAAAGCCACGGCUAACUACGUG